GUGAUAUUUAUAGCUUCCUGGCUUCUAUUAAUACAUGUUUAUAUUUCAUGAAAGCCAUUUAUAAUAGUGCUACAUGCCAUAUGUUUAAUCCUACUGUGUAAUUGUUCACUCAUCUCUGACUUAAACACCUUAUAAAUUAAUUCAUUCUAUACAGGUUAUCGAAUAAACACUAAUAUUAUAUGCCAAGUGCUGUUCCAGCCACCAUGUAUACAAACAGUAAAGAGACCAUGUCUCUACCCUCAUGGCAUUCGUUUCUCAGUGAAGACAGACAAUGAAUGAAUGAAUGAAUGAAUAUGGAGAAGCAAGGGGUGCAGAGGGAGAAAAGCAGAGGAUAGAGAGUGAUAGAGAGCUAUUUUAUGUUGGGGAGAGACAUAAAUGAAGCCUUGGAGCAGGCCAUGCAGGUAUUUGAGGGAAGAGAGUCACAAGGGAAAAAACACAAAAUACAAAGUUUAAAGGCUCUGAGGGUGGGAACCUGUCUAGCCUUUUGAGCAAUAACAAGGAAACCAUUUUUAGCAAUAACAAGAAGUAGAGUGAGUGAGCGGCAGUGUAGCAGGCAAUGAGCAAAGAGGGAAAAUAGAGGAUGAGAUCUCACUGGGGCUCAAAAAAACUCUCUUAGGCUGUGGACUUUAUUCUGUAGGAAAUGGAAACUUUUGACCAAAAGAGUAACAUUAUUGACUUACAUUUUAAAGGAGCUCAGUGACUGCUACAUAGAGAGUAUAUAAUAGGGACAAAGAUGAAAACAGAAAGACCAGUUAAGAGACUUGAAUCUCCAGGCAAGAGGGCAUGGUGACCUGGACCAGAGUGAUAGAGAAAGAAGUAGUAAGAAGCAGUCACGUGUAUUCGUCUGAAAGAGCUAUUCUGAUAGCGUUUCAUGACUAGUUUGAUGUGAAGAUAUGAGAAAAAAAAAGCAGUCAAUAAAGACUCCAAGAUUUUUUAUGAGGGAAAAUGGAAGAAUGAAUUUUCCAUAAUCAACAUGGGGAAUAUUAGUAAGUAACAGGAUUGGGAAGAAAAAUCAUGUAUUUAUUUUGAGCAUGUUAAAUUUGAGAUGGCUAAUCAGACAUCCAUGUAGAUAUGUUCAUUACAUAGUCAUUUACUGGAGUCCAGAGAUUCAGGAAAGAGGUCAGGAUGAGGAAUGUAAAUGUGGGGUGGUCAAGAUAACAUAGUAUUUAAAGCCAUACGCUGGAGAAGGCAGCCAAGGGAGUGAGAGCAGUUAGAGAAAUUGAGAAGUCUAAAGACUGAACUCUGCAGUACUCCAACUUUAAAAGAUGUGGAAAAAAUAGGAGGAAUUUGGCAAGAGAGAAUGAAAUUGACGGUAGCCAGUGAUGUAGGAAGAACAUGAGGAAAGCGUAGACUCCGGGAAAUUAAAUGUAGAAAGAGUUUCAAAAAUAAAGGAGACAUCACCUGUGUCAAGUGCUGCUGAUUGAUAGGUAGAGGAAGGUAAGAACUGAAAGGUGGCCUUUGCUUUUGUCAACAUAAAGGUCACUGAUCUGUUUCAUGAGAAUGGUGAGGUUAAAUGCCGAUUUGAAGUGGAUCCAAGAAUAGGAAAAGAUAUGUUGGAGGUCAUGGGCAUGAAAAUUUUUUGAGAUUUUGCUCCUUAAAAGGGGAAGAGAGAAAUAGACAGUAGCUGGAGAGGGACAAAAAUCACAGAACUCAACAUAAAGGCAGGUUAUAUAGGGUCCAUAUGAAAGUAGGUCACAUGGGAAAAAUUAUUUACCAUCUUAUAUGUCUAACCUCCUCCUGUUUUUUCACUCUUUCUUUCCUUCCAUGAUAUGAAUCCCAUCCUCCUCCAUACCUGCCUGGACAUCUGAGGUCCUGAACAGCCUAUCUAUGCUCCACUACCUCAAAGCUCUCAGGAAUAGAAAAAUGAACUCAUUUCUCUGGGCGGCUGAUAAGAAUCACAGAUAUUCUCCUCUUCUGUUAUGGAGAAGGAACAUACGUCCAACUCCAGUGACUUUGGGCUUGGCCUUGUGACUUGUUUUGACCAACAAAGUAUGAGCAGACUUGACUCAAGCCACCUUCCAGGGGAGGCAUAAGCUGUGCUUGCAUGCUUCGGCUCUACCUCUCAUGUUCUGCCCACUCUCAUGAGAACAGCAUGACACAGAUGAAAGAUGCUCCUUCAGUCUGAAACCUGAAGAGAGAAGCUACAUAGAGCUAAGCCCAGCUGAGCCCAGCCCAGCCAAUACAGUGCAUUGACCUGCAGCUAUCUUACAAUAUGAGUCGGAAAUAGACAUUUGUUCUUGUAAGCUCUUGAGAUAAUAUGGUUGUUUGUUACCACAGCAAAAGCUAAUAAACCACCGUUAGAAAACAGAUAAAGUGUUUUAAAUUUUUAGAAUAUUUGGAAAUGAUGCUAAGUUUGUGAAGUUCCUUAAGGUAUGCAAAUGAAAAAUAAUUUACCUUAAUCAUUGUCAUAAACCUGAAUCAAAGUUUGAAAUAAAAAUCAUGCCUACUAGCCCUUACUUAAGUGAUUUAUAGACAAUGUAAAUCUUUGUAAACUACCUCAAAUAAUGUGAUAAACAAGAUAUAAAGCAGGCUUUCUUUUCAUUUGUCUCUGUGGGUUCUUUAACAGCUAUACAGCCAUACUCCCUGUACUUGGAUUUACCAUGGAAAACAUUUUCCCUCUCCGUUAUUGUUGGCAAAAGCUGCAUCUUUCUGGUCUGUUCAGUACUCGACAAUUUGUACUGCCAAUUAUGCUAUUACAAUGUCUCUUAAGGUUUCCUCCACUGCUCCUUUAUUCUUGGUACCUCCUUUGUGAUUUCAGAGUCGUUUUAUGGAAUUGUAAUGUGGCUCUUGACAUAUAAUUGAAGCAUGUUAAAUUACCCUGGCUUAAAUAAACAACUUACC
This 2841-nucleotide long non-coding RNA is filed under the name Homo sapiens (human). Its description in RNAcentral is "HSALNT0030607". The record is from RNAcentral. Lineage: Eukaryota; Metazoa; Chordata; Mammalia; Primates; Hominidae.